Molecule: transfer RNA, 62 nt
Filed under: uncultured Halarcobacter sp.
Lineage: Bacteria; Pseudomonadati; Campylobacterota; Epsilonproteobacteria; Campylobacterales; Arcobacteraceae
Rfam family: tRNA
About the family: Transfer RNA (tRNA) molecules are approximately 80 nucleotides in length. Their secondary structure includes four short double-helical elements and three loops (D, anti-codon, and T loops). Further hydrogen bonds mediate the characteristic L-shaped molecular structure. tRNAs have two regions of fundamental functional importance: the anti-codon, which is responsible for specific mRNA codon recognition, and the 3' end, to which the tRNAs corresponding amino acid is attached (by aminoacyl-tRNA synthetases). tRNAs cope with the degeneracy of the genetic code in two manners: having more than one tRNA (with a specific anti-codon) for a particular amino acid; and 'wobble' base-pairing, i.e. permitting non-standard base-pairing at the 3rd anti-codon position.
Source: RNAcentral
GAUUAGCUCAGUGGUAGAGUAGGUGACUGUUAAUCACUUGGUCGCUGGUUCGAAUCCAGCAU